This is a non-coding RNA of Bemisia tabaci, 973 nucleotides long. NCBI's taxonomy places the organism in Eukaryota, Metazoa, Arthropoda, Insecta, Hemiptera, Aleyrodidae. The record is from RefSeq and is a predicted model, not a curated record.
GUGCGCUGCGCCUAAAUCUAGGACUUUUCCAACAUCUUUUUGACCAGAGGUCCUUUAACAUCCUUUGACCACAGUGUCACAUCCAACUGCUCUCAUCAAUGUCUUUAUGUAAAUGCGUCCAUUUGUGCAACGCCUACCUGAUUUACUUCGGUGAAUAAACUUUAUCUCAAACUUUUCCUCUUCCCAUUUUUAUCCCGUCAUUGCAGUUCGUUCGUUUUACCGUUAAAACCAACUGGCGCCGAAACGGAUAUUUUGAACAUCAUUCUUUUUUUCUCUUUUCUCAUUCACUUGCAACUCAGUGUAAAUCAGUCAUCAUAAUUUACAGUGUUGAAAACCCAAUAAAUUAAUCGCUAAUUUAUUGCAAAGCGUUGCGUGGUUUUUAGAAGGGUGCAGAUCCGUGUUACGGGCGCGUUACGGGGGUCAAAAAUCCGAUUUGCAGCGUUACGCAUUUCAUAAAUGACCCCGGAGCCCUAGACUGGCCCUGAGUCAGUGGCCCAGAAAACUCCAAUCUACGAGAUUCUUUCGCUUGUUCCUAAAUCGAACUUUUCGGAGGAAACUGAAUAUUACCGUGUCAUACGCUAAUUGCCAGCCAUCAGGAUUCAUGGAGGGCAUAAUGUGGAUCCUAGUUGACUGGAUGAGAUCUACGAUUUCUUCAUCGCCGGCCAGGUAUGCGUCGCACAUGUAGUCGGCCAGUUUCAACAGCAGCUCCCGGCCUAGAACUUCAUUACCGUGCAUAUUGCCGAUGUAUUUAAACUCCGGCUUGACUGCAACACACAAAAACACGACACCUUCAGAACAGAGCGACUUGUUUUGUCGUUAGAAACGGUCAACAUCACUGAAAUAAAUGUUUCGAAAACAUCUUUUCGAAAUUAAUGUGAAAUUCUCUGUGAUCAUAAAGAAUUUUUUUUUACUAUUUUUUAAAGUUUUUGUUUGUACAUAAAACUUGAAAAAUACAGUGGUAUGCUUUUUAUAA